AUUACAGGGUUGUUUAAGUCCCAACAAUUCACUCUUUGCAAUGUUAUUCACUAAACUGUGGAUUGUGGGGAAUUCAAAGCUUGCAGCAAUUGGAGGCUCUGUUCUUUGAAUGGGGGCAGGUGUUUUUUGUGUAUGUGGAGAAGGCUGAGCUGGGGGGAGGGAGUGUGGUGGCUGAAUUGUGUGUGUGGAGUGAGCCUAGUGUUGCGUGUGGAUUG
Molecule: non-coding RNA, 215 nt
Organism: Pelobates cultripes (western spadefoot toad)
Lineage: Eukaryota; Metazoa; Chordata; Amphibia; Anura; Pelobatidae
Source: the annotation of a GenBank genome assembly